RNAcentral lists this long non-coding RNA (379 nucleotides) under Durio zibethinus. RNAcentral's name for it is "long non-coding RNA (DZIB_LNC000086)". The record is from RNAcentral. Lineage: Eukaryota; Viridiplantae; Streptophyta; Magnoliopsida; Malvales; Malvaceae.
AACGGGUCUUGUUGGAACCGGAUUCGGGCGCAUCCAGUUCCGGGCGUAGUAAAAGUACCCCAUCGGUCAAUCAACCGCAACCAGGAGAACAAGCUAUGCCUCCCGCUAGGCCUGUUGUGCAGGAAGCUGCUAAUCAGGGUCCACAUUCUCAAUGAAUGCCGAAACGACUGCCCUAACAUCUAUUUCGUCAGGGUUAUAGUCCAUAAAGGCAGGAAGAUAGAAGCGAUAGCCUUCAUACGCUGAAGCAAAGGUGAUGAUAAAGUCUUCGUACCUUGUACGCUGCACUAUUGUCAUUAACUCUGUUAAUAGAACACUCAAGCUAAUACAACCUCUGACCUCUCACAUUUUUUCCUCUAUUUAGCUUUCAUCCAUUACCAUU